CCUACGGGAGGCAGCAGUGGGGAAUAUUGCACAAUGGGGGAAACCCUGAUGCAGCAACGCCGCGUGAGUGAAGAAGGUUUUCGGAUUGUAAACUUCUGUUCUUAGGGAAGAAUAAUAACGUUAGCGAAGGAGCAAGCCACGGCUAACUACUUCCCAGCAGCCGCGUUAAUACGUAGGGGGCAACCUUUUUCCGGAAUUACUGGGUGUAAAGGGAGCUCAGACGGGAGGCCAAGUCAGCUGUGAAAACUACGGGGUUAACUUGCAGACUGCACGUGAAACUGGAUUUCUGGAGUGCAGUAGAGGUAGGCGGAAUUCCGAGUGUAGCGGUGAAAUGCGUAGAUAUUAGGAGGAACACCGGUGGCGAAGGCGGAAAACUGGGCUUUAACUGACGCUGAGGCUCGAAAGUGUGGGGAGCAAACAGGAUUAGAUACCCUUGUAGUC
RNAcentral lists this ribosomal RNA (441 nucleotides) under uncultured bacterium. RNAcentral describes it as "partial 16S ribosomal RNA". It matches the Rfam family "Bacterial small subunit ribosomal RNA", at positions 338 to 795 of the family's 1533-position model. The record is from RNAcentral.